RNAcentral lists this ribosomal RNA (500 nucleotides) under uncultured bacterium. Its description in RNAcentral is "partial 16S ribosomal RNA". It matches the Rfam family "Bacterial small subunit ribosomal RNA", at positions 30 to 523 of the family's 1533-position model. The record is from RNAcentral.
AUUGAACGCUGGCGGCAGGCCUAACACGUGCAAGUCGAGCGGUUGACGGGAGCUUGCUCCCUGAUUCAGCGGCGGACGGGUGAGUAAUGCCUAGGAAUCUGCCUAUUAGUGGGGGACAACGUUUCGAAAGGAACGCUAAUACCGCAUACGUCCUACGGGAGAAAGCAGGGGACCUUCGGGCCUCGCGCUAAUAGAUGAGCCUAGGUCGGAUUAGCUUGUUGGUGAGGUAAUGGCUCACCAAGGCGACGAUCCGUAACUGGUCUGAGAGGAUGAUAGGGCACAAUGGAAGUGAGACACGGGCCAGGCGACUAAGGGAGGCAGCAGUGGGGAAUAUUGGACAAUGGGCGAAAGCCCUAUCCAGCCAUGCCGCGUGUGUGAAGAAGGUCUUCGGAUUGUAAAGCACUUUAAGUUGGGAUGAAGGGUUGUAGAUUAAUACUCUGCAAUUUUGACGUUACCGACAGAAUAAGCACCGGCUAACUCUGUGCCAGCCGCCGCGGUAA